This is an RNA transcript of Acanthochromis polyacanthus (spiny chromis), 2980 nucleotides long. It is a transcript of the gene named cytosolic sulfotransferase 3-like, with no coding region annotated. NCBI's taxonomy places the organism in Eukaryota, Metazoa, Chordata, Actinopteri, Pomacentridae. The transcript is spliced from 9 exons. The record is from RefSeq and is a predicted model, not a curated record.
CCACAAGAGAGUUAUGUAACAAGAGGUUAAAAAAAAACAUUACGCAGGUCAGUGAAACAUUGGAGUCGGAGAAGCCAGACAGAAAACCAGCAGCAAGCAGAAUAUCGUUUGAUCAAGACAAGAUGGAUGCACCUGGUCGACCAGAGCUGGUUGAUUUCCAUGGAAUCUCAAUGACCAAAAUUUUCACUGACAACUGGGAGAACAUUCAAAACUUUCAGGCCAGGCCAGAUGAUAUUCUUAUUGCGACAUAUGCCAAAGCAGGGACCACAUGGGUCUCCCAAAUCCUUGACCUGUUGUAUUUUGGUCAGAUGGAGCGUCACAAAACCCUCCCUAUCUAUGAGAGAGUGCCUUUCUUGGAUGUUUACAUCCCGCCUCACAUGUCAGGAACAGAGCAAGCAAACAAUCUUCCCACCUCCCCUCGACUGAUUAAAACUCAUUUGCCAUACCAGUUAGUGCCAAAGUCCUUCUGGGAGCAAAACUGCCGGAUUGUCUAUGUAGCACGCAAUGCAAAAGACAACAUGGUGUCUUAUUACCACUUCAAUCGCAUGAACCUGGUUCAGCCAGCAGCUGGAGACUGGAACAGCUUUUUCAAGCAAUUCAUGGAAGGAAAAAUGGUGUUUGGACCCUGGUACGACCACGUGAAUGGCUGGUGGAAGAAGAAGCAGAUUUAUCCAAAAAUUCAUUACAUGUUCUAUGAAGAUAUGAUUGAGGACACUGGACGGGAAAUAGACAAACUCUGCUCCUUUCUUGGUUUGUCUCCUUCAGCUGAAGAGAAGAGAAUGAUAGUUGGUGGAACGCAGUUUAAUAACAUGAAAAAGAAUGAGAUGGCCAACUAUUCCACAAUCCCACUGAUGGAUUUCAAAAUUUCUCCCUUCAUGAGAAAAGGGAAGGUUGGUGACUGGAAGAACCACUUCACUGUGGCUCAGAAUGAAGAGUUUGAUGAAGACUACAAGCAAAAGAUGAAGGAUCCCACACUUCAGUUCCGUACUACAAUCUGAGCAGGACCAGACACACUGUGUGUAUGUAAAGACGGGUCCAUGACGGACCAGAUGUGGUACUGCUGGACAGUAGUAGAGGUGUUCAGGAAUUUUAUAUUUUUUGUGAUUUUAUAUAAAUUCAAACUAGAAAUUUUAUAUUAUGAAGCACCAAAAAAUCAAAAUGAAUGUCUUUCAAAACAGAGAAUAUAUGUGCAAUAAACUGAAUGCACAAUUAUGCAAUAAACCAAAAAAGCUGUAUGACCGUAAAUUGUGUUGACACUGAUACUUUGAGUUGAAAAUAACUUCAGUAUGAGAAUUCAAUUGAAAAUAAUUCAAUUACAUCCAUAUUUUUCAUUUAUAGUAGUAUAUAGUGCAAUAAAACAAUACCUUAUUUCUGUUGUUCAUAUUAUUUUCUUCUACUGUAUGUGUGGGACAUUUCAAAAAUAAGGUAAAAAGAACAAAGGAUAUUGACUCUUGUACUUGAUUCAAUCUCUCUUGCCAUCUCUGAGUCGAAGACAAUAAUGCAUAUAUGAGAACUUGUGAUGUACUAUUUAGACAUCCAUGAAAGGAAAUCUUCCAUUUCAUUGGGAAAUCGAGGUCAAAGAGUCUGAAGGAAGAAUGGAGAGGCACAGAGUCCAAGGAGUUUAAAGUCCAGUGUGAAGUUUUCAAUCUGCAAUGAUUUUGGGUGCUACAUCAUCUGCUGAGGUUGAUCUGUUUUGUUUUAUCAAGUCCAGAGAUGUCUAGUACAGGACUUCAGAGCACUCAGUGCUUCCAUCUGCUGACAAGCUUUAUGGAGAUUCCAGAAGACUGUGUUUUUCUGGCCAUAAUAUUACUGUGCUUGAUGUGACAACCAGCUGACAUGAACCCCAUAAGUGGUGUUGUCAGUAGAAAGAUGAAAAACACUCGACUCAAAAACACAGACGAGCUGAAGGUCGCUAUCAAAACCUGUGCUUUUGUAACACCUGAGCAGUAGUAAAGGCUGAUCACCUCUACAUCACACCGCAUUGAUGUAGACGUUUGUAGGAAAGGAGCCCUAACCAAGAAUUGACUGUAUAAAUGAAUAUGCUUUUCAGAAGUAAGAGAUUUCUCUAUUGCAAAUCCUUCUUUUGAUUGAUCUUGGGAACUUUUCUCAUAAUUUGAGUUAUUGGAUGUCUGAUUUUUAUGAGCCAGCUAUCAAAUAUUCUGCAUAAAGAACAAACUUCAACACCUAGUUCUAAAAACUGUAGCCAUUCUUUCAAGGUUGGCUCCACUCAAAUGAGCUCAAUAAUAUCCUUGUUAGUACGCUGUUAUUUGACGGGAGCUGUAGAUUUUCUAUGUUAACAAAAUAUGUGUCAAAAUCACAGAGACUGAGAGCGUGCAAACAGAGAGACCACUGAUGAUGUCUGUGUGACGUUUUAAUGACAUCGAGUGGUAAAGUGCAAGGAUUUUAAAGCCAUCCAUGAAAUGUAUCUUUUCUUCGUGAUGCCUAAAACUCCUGAGGCAGCCUUGUGAACCACUUUCUGCUUAGUCUAAUGUUUCCUAACAAUCAAGCACGAGGAAUUCAGACACCAAGGAAAACCAGAUAAUGAUUUAAAGCAAAAAAGUUAAAGAUAUUUGUAAUUUCAUACUAUGAUGUGUCGUUGACGAGUAAAAAUGCUGUAAUCUUGAUAAUACCAUUGAGUUUCUUUGGCCAUAAUAGGAAUCUGACUCGGUGUUUAGUGCGUAACUGAAAACACUGAUAAGCAGACAAAUUUAAUGAAGGAUAAAACUAUUUUUAAAGUAUGCUUAAGGAGUCAAAUAUAAACAAGUGGAGCAAAUCAAAGCUGUUAUACAACAAAAAUAUUUACAGUGCUUUAUCAGUGAGCUGCUGUACAGGAAUGUACAAAGUAUUUGUCUACGAUUGUGCAACAUCCCACAGUAUGUAAAUAAAACUGUCUGAAAUGCGCAAAAGGAUAAGAAUGAUCUUAUUUUCAAGUUGUCCAACAUUACUCAUGAUAGAUAAACCAUUUCAUCUUACACUCUUA